AUUGAACGCUGGCGGCAGGCCUAACACAUGCAAGUCGAGCGGAUGAAGGGAGCUUGCUCCUGGAUUCAGCGGCGGACGGGUGAGUAAUGCCUAGGAAUCUGCCUGGUAGUGGGGGAUAACGUCCGGAAACGGGCGCUAAUACCGCAUACGUCCUGAGGGAGAAAGUGGGGGAUCUUCGGACCUCACGCUAUCAGAUGAGCCUAGGUCGGAUUAGCUAGUUGGUGGGGUAAAGGCCUACCAAGGCGACGAUCCGUAACUGGUCUGAGAGGAUGAUCAGUCACACUAGAACUGAGACACGGUCCAGACUCCUACGGGAGGGAGCAGUGGGGAAUAUUGGACAAUGGGCGAAAGCCUGAUCCAGCCAUGCCGCGUGUGUGAAGAAGGUCUUCGGAUUGUAAAGCACUUUAAGUUGGGAGGAAGGGCAGUAAGUUAAUACCUUGCUGUUUUGACGUUACCAACAGAAUAAGCACCGGCUAACUUCGUG
This 484-nucleotide ribosomal RNA is filed under the name uncultured bacterium. RNAcentral describes it as "partial 16S ribosomal RNA". It matches the Rfam family "Bacterial small subunit ribosomal RNA", at positions 30 to 507 of the family's 1533-position model. The record is from RNAcentral.